RNAcentral lists this small RNA (595 nucleotides) under Aspergillus heterothallicus. RNAcentral describes it as "eukaryotic LSU rRNA". The stretch from base 179 to 332 matches the Rfam family "5.8S ribosomal RNA". Lineage: Eukaryota; Fungi; Ascomycota; Eurotiomycetes; Eurotiales; Aspergillaceae. The record is from RNAcentral.
GGUAACUGAGACUGAGGCAUCGCCCCCAGGCAGGCCUAACCUCCCACCCGUGAAUACCUGACCAACGUUGCUUCGGCGGUGCGCGCCCCCUUCCCGGGGGGCGUAAGCCGCCGGGGACCACACCGAACUUCUUGUUUUUAGCGUGUCGUCUGAGCUUGAUACAAGCAAACCUAAUUAAAACUUUCAACAAUGGAUCUCUUGGUUCCGGCAUCGAUGAAGAACGCAGCGAACUGCGAUAAGUAAUGUGAAUUGCAGAAUUCAGUGAAUCAUCGAGUCUUUGAACGCACAUUGCGCCCCCUGGCAUUCCGGGGGGCAUGCCUGUCCGAGCGUCAUUGCUGCCCUUCAAGCCCGGCUUGUGUGUUGGGUCGUCGUCCCCCCCGGGGGACGGGCCCGAAAGGCAGCGGCGGCACCGCGUCCUGGUCCUCGAGCGUAUGGGGCUUUGUCACCCGCUCGUUUAGGGCCGGCCGGGCGCCAGCCGGCGUCUCCAAACCUUUUAUUUUACCAGGUUGACCUCGGAUCAGGUAGGGAUACCCGCUGAACUUAAGCAUAUCAAAACCGGGAAAGAAAAUCCUUAGGGGGUUGUUUGUUUGCCUUU